UUUAUUGUACGUCAUACUAAAAGUAAAUAUCACGUUGUUUCGUUCUUUUUUUUUCUAAAGGGUUAAUUAUUAUUUUUACGAAUAUACUUUAACGUUGGUUACAAACAUUUUUCCGGUGUACGUCUUUUUCUUAGCAGCCGAGUAAUUAUGUCAGGUUUGAAACAAGUUGUUUUAGGUUUAACUGUAUUGUUCGUUAUUGUCACGUGCGGAGGCAAUGAUAAUAAUAACAAAAAUAUAUGUAUUCAAGCAACUGAUAACUGUCCUAACGAGUAUAUUAAAUUAUAUUUGUAUACAAAUAAAACUAAAGAUGAUCCUGUUGAGCUUUCGGAAGAUUCAAUCAAAAACAUUCAGUUUGCAAUGACUUUUGAUCUAAAAAUACUAAUACACGGAGUCAAAGGAUCGCGUGACGACGAUUUUAACACAUUAAUGAGGAACGCUUAUUUCUCACAGGCAGAGUAUAACAUAAUCACGAUAGAUUAUCAUCCUAUCGCGACUUCGUUGAAAUGUUACGACGUCGCUGUUCGAAACUUGCCAAUUAUCGCCAAAUGUAUAACACAAAUUUUGGAUAAGAUCCUCGACGAAUACGACCAAUUUGAGUACAUACACGCCAUUGGCUUCAGCUUGGGAGGUCAAGCCGCUGGUCUCGUGGGGAAACUAUUGAAGGCGAAGGGAAAGAUUCUGAACAGGGCUACAGGCCUUGAUCCAGCUUUACCUUAUUUUGAAUACAUGUGGAACAAUUUGGACAAGCACAGUGCAACCGUAGUGGAUGUCAUACAUACGAAUUGUGGUGCUCUCGGACAAAUGUUACCGAUUGGAACAGUUGAUUUUUACGCCAAUGGUGCAAUCACACAGCCGGGAUGUGAUAAAAAUAUCACGAAAAAGCAUAUAAAUAUUACGCUGAGUCGAUUUACUAUGGAACGACCAUGUCUGGAUUUUAUGCGACGACUUCGAGCUCUUUAAACCAGCUGUCAUUAUUGGGACAUUUUAGUACUUUUUCGGGAAAAAAAGUAUUAGUUGGAGAAUAUCUUGACCCUGAGACUAAAGGAAUAUACAACUUUUUAACCAACGAUAGUCCACCUUACUCUAAAGGAAAAAAUACAAUUUGUAAUUUAAUAAUGGAAUGGUUUUCUAAUUUCUAAUAUUUAAACAUUACACAUGUGUAUAUUAUGGAUAAUA
RNAcentral lists this unclassified non-coding RNA (1176 nucleotides) under Rhopalosiphum maidis (corn leaf aphid). RNAcentral's name for it is "pancreatic triacylglycerol lipase-like, transcript variant X1". The record is from RNAcentral. Lineage: Eukaryota; Metazoa; Arthropoda; Insecta; Hemiptera; Aphididae.